RNAcentral lists this unclassified non-coding RNA (535 nucleotides) under Hevea brasiliensis (rubber tree). The record is from RNAcentral. Lineage: Eukaryota; Viridiplantae; Streptophyta; Magnoliopsida; Malpighiales; Euphorbiaceae.
UGUGCACAUCCUCAUAAAAUUCUUCGUAACAGUGCUCAACCUCUUCAUCUGUAUACUGAAAAAGAAACAUGACAAAUCAAAAGCAAUUUUCCUGUUAUAGGUAAGCAAAUAUACUACAACAGAAACAAAUGAUGAAUCUUGCAACUACAGACUUCCAACAACGUAACAUAUAAGCAAUCCCCAACAAAAUAAUGAUAAAUACAAAAUAUACUCCAAGACCAUUCUGCAAGAAGCUAGGAUAAGCAAAUGCAAAGCACAAGAUGACUGAAGUUACCGAGAAAUCAGACUUAUGAAGCCCUAAUUAUUGUUAUAUCAUACCAGUUUUAUAGUUGAUUUAAAUAAUUUAGAAUGAUUUUACAUUUUUGCAGUCCUUAGUACAUAUCAUAAAGUAAGACUUAUCCUGCAUUCAUUAUUUAAGUGAAGAACAUAAAAUAUAAGUAAGCUCUUUCAGCUUUCCAUUUUUCUAAAACACAUUAUAAAGUAUGUGAAGCUUUCAACCAAAUACACAUACAAAUGUUUUUUGCUGCCUUCAAUU